GCUGGAAAAUGCCUCCCCCGCUCCAACUCCUAGUGGAUGCCGGAGGCGGCGGCGGCGGCAUGGCGCUGCUGGAGGAUCACGGCGGUCGCCAUGGCGCUGCUCGCCGCCUCCGACCAUAGCUAUUGAUCCUGCCCCCUUCCUCACACUCUUCGUGAUGCCGAGCAGGGCAAGAUGCCCGGGUGUGCCUCCCUCAGCCCCUCCCCUCCCCAACCUCCCUUCCCCUCUCCUCCAGCGUCCCGAAGGCCCGCGAGCCCCACUGGCAGGCCAGCCGCGCAGGACCGCCCGUCCAAUGCUCCCGCAUGCGGCUAGGGGUCGGCGCGCGCGGAGUAUGGACCCGGCGUGGCUCUGGCCGCGGGGGAGCAGCGUGGCUCCGGCCGCUCGAGCCGUCACGCCGCCGUACUUGCGCUCUCUAUCCUCCAUCGUAGGCUUCCCCACUCCAUCCUUCCCCUUCCCAAAAAUCUAGCUAUCUCCUUCCUUCUCCUGACCCAUGGAAAUUCUUAGAUUUGGCAUGGCUGCCUCUGUGCCUGUGCAAAAUCUGAAAGAGAUCGCGUCAGAAUCGAGGUUGUCUCCCUGUCCAAGUAGGUCCGGCCGAUCUCUCGCGCCGUUGCGCUCCGCCGCCGUCUCGCCGUGCGGGAUGUCUCCUCCUUAAUGCCGUUGCGCUCCCCGCAUCUUUUGAGGCCUACGCUCGGUUUGGUUCCUCUGUUCAAUAUUUUUGUUUUUUCCCGUGAUCUAUAUAAUGCAUGCUAUUUGCGUAUUGACUAUAGAGCUAUUGGUAGCAGGUGUUAGCAACCUUCUUUUCUUUUCUCACUCUAUCUAGCUGUCCUUUGUUCUCAUACAUGUUUUGGUUGCACCAAAUACAUGUUUGUGAAUGUGAAAUUUCAGGUUAUCUAACACACACUGUAUUUAUGACUUAUGUUAAGAAGACCUGUUAGUUUAGAGAUUAGUUUGCUAUUUACUCUCGAGGGUUGGAGUCCUGUGUUUGAUUUUUUGAAACGGAUAAUUUUUUUUUUGAAACAGAGAGUCCUGUGUUUGAUUGAUUCUACUUCACAUAAACUUGUCACAUUAUCUACAGUCAAUUACCCUUACUUCUUCGAUACUAUGAAAACGAUAUAGCAUACCAUUGUAGAUGCUGCCUGUGCUUCUUUCCGCUAUAGCUGAUGCUGAUAUAAAUGCUCCUAGCUUCAUACCCCUUGCAUAAUUUUGCUGGCAGUUUGUGUCAUGUACUCUUGAUGUUGUCAUUUCAGGAGCUGAUUCUGAAAGCUGUGAUUCUUAACACCUAUAUGGUUAAGACAUAUUGCUUUCUGCACAACAACGUCCAUCUUCUUUCAAAUCUAAUUUUUUACUGAACAUUUACUAUUCCUAUACUGUUUGAUCGAUACUCCUAGAAUGAAUAUUUCAAUUUCAGGAUGUAAUGGCUACAAGCAGAGCCUAUGGCCCUCCUGAUCUUUUCUGGGAAAUGAAGCUGCUAAGCCAAUGUUGUGUGGCCCAUCUUGAAGAAUUUAGUCCACUAAACUACAUAUACAAGGUUGCCGUUGCUGCUUAAUCUGCUUUUAGAUCUGAGAUUAUGCUGGCUGCUGCUACCUGACAGAAACAGAUCUGCGGGAGACGCCGAUGCCACUGUUUAGAAAUCAAUCUAAUCCUCCGUUGUUCUGCACGUUACCUAUCAGCUUGCUCAGGAGAGAAGCCAGAUGAAAAUGUUGAUGGGGCCUUUCCUAUUUCUUGCCAGGGUCUUUACUUUUAAGAAACAGUUCAGAACAGUGAUUCUCCCUGAUUUUAUAAAAAUCCAUCGGGGUCGGCCGACCCUGACGCAACCACGCAGCUCCGCCCCUGAGCUUGCAACUUUUAUGCUCUUGCAUUCCUUUGUUUUCACAUUUUAUAAGGCUACCUCCUACCCAUUUUCACUUUUGCAUUAUCUGCUUCACGGUGCAAGAUUGCCUGCUCCGGCGAGAAAGAAACCUGAGUUACAAAUCUCUACUAGAUCGACUAUAUCAUUCCAGAUUAGGAAGAAGAAAUAGAUCCAUAUGUGGUGAGGGAAUGCAACCGAGCUGUAUUUGAAGCUGAAAUAGAAGAUGAAAAAAAAAACAACCCUCCUACCUUCAACGGCUUCACAUAUUCAGAUGAAACUUCCGAUGAUGAUGACCCAAAUGAAGCGUACUACUAUGCAGACUCAGAUCGUGAGCCGAAAAACUGGUAAUUUGAUGCAUCAGGCUUCUAAGGCCUAACAGAUAUCUGAAGAUCUACACUCAUCAAGAAAAUGGGAACAUCGCUCCCAAAUCUCCAACUCAUCGUCUGCCAUCUAGUAGUUUUAUUUGCCUACAGCUAUUUACGUAGUGUGUGUACGUACCCGAACUGCAAACCUUGCUUAUAUAUUAUCUGACUACUUAUGUAAUAUAUUCGCAUGGGCUGAACACUCCGCAAUGAAUUUACUCCUCCGUGUUACGAAAACUCUACAAACCUUACUUCUCUUGGUAAUCCAUCAUGGUCUAGUGACA
This is a long non-coding RNA of Panicum virgatum (switchgrass), 2492 nucleotides long. RefSeq lists it as uncharacterized. NCBI's taxonomy places the organism in Eukaryota, Viridiplantae, Streptophyta, Magnoliopsida, Poales, Poaceae. The record is from RefSeq and is a predicted model, not a curated record. The transcript has 7 exons.